RNAcentral lists this non-coding RNA (23 nucleotides) under Arabidopsis thaliana (thale cress). The record is from RNAcentral. Lineage: Eukaryota; Viridiplantae; Streptophyta; Magnoliopsida; Brassicales; Brassicaceae.
AUAAGUCCCAACUACAAGAUUUA